AUAUAGUUCAGGACAUUGUUAACAUGCACAUAGUGUUUAUAUUAGCCAUGCUCUUUAGCUAAUGUGUUAUAUUUCAUAUUAAUACAUAAAAUAUCAACAUUCCUGGAUAAUAGUAACGCUAACUAGGAAUGUUGGAAAUAUUAAAAGUUAUUUAUUAAAUACAGUAGGAGUUUUUGUUAGCGUUCUGUAUACCUGGGUAUGCGUUUAACAAAUAUAAAUAGUUAUUCAAUAAUUUAUCUGCAGUUCAUAUUUACCAUUAUGCAACCUAUAAUAAAAUAAUAUACUGAUUAACACUCAUACUUCAUGUCCAUUUCUGGUUUGUAUCGUGGUCUCACAACAGUAAAUCGCCAAACUGCCAGAUUAAAAUUACUAAUCUUAACUUAUAAUUCAUCUAUAAUCGUCAAUAAUAAACCUAUAGCACCAGUCGAAAUAGUUGGGACAAAUUUACUAUAGGUUCUACGCACAAAAUGAUGAAUUAUAUGACACACAAAAUGAAGUAUACGUUAAAUUUGGUCGUGGUGGUAAUCACUAAGUGAAUACAGAAAUUAAAACUAAAUACAGACAUUUGACUCAAAGAGUGAUACUAAUUUUCUUAAAAUUUUUCAGAGCUAGUCAAACAAAAAUGUCAUCUAAACAAAUA
This is a non-coding RNA of Cinara cedri, 640 nucleotides long. The record is from the annotation of a GenBank genome assembly. Lineage: Eukaryota; Metazoa; Arthropoda; Insecta; Hemiptera; Aphididae.